GAGGAAGAGGAGGAGGAGUUGGUUGACCUCUCCUACGACAUCUACUGCUCCUACAGGAUUCCCCGCGCGGACAAGGCCCUCGAAGUGAAAUACGGUGUUGACAGCUUCUCUAUGAACGUCUACAGCCAGGCGUCAUCGCACAGUCCAGACUUGCCCCCGCUCUACGUCACCGACAAGACUCCACUCUGCAUAGAGAACAGCCUGCUAGGAGAUCCGCGGCUGGACCUUGUCACGGAGGAAUGCUGGGUGUCCGUCUCCUCCUCGCCUGACACCGGGGACAACCACUAUCUCGUCCAGAACAGGUGUGGGCGGUGGAUCAGUCGGUGAAAGCUGCAGCAGGCUUCGGAGCAGGAGCAGGCUCAGCGUCUGUGCUUCACACUGUCAGCGCUACUGGCAGCAGGAAUUACACUCACGUCUACCUGCACUGCCGCGUGAGCGUGUGCACCGCAUAGCCAAGUACGGCCAGCCAGAGAUAGACGAGUGCGCGGGCUGGACCUGUACUGGCCUGAGCAGUACGCUU
Molecule: long non-coding RNA, 520 nt
Organism: Priapulus caudatus
Lineage: Eukaryota; Metazoa; Priapulida; Priapulimorpha; Priapulimorphida; Priapulidae
Exons: 5
Source: RefSeq, a predicted model, not a curated record